This is a long non-coding RNA of Ailuropoda melanoleuca (giant panda), 1182 nucleotides long. RefSeq lists it as uncharacterized. The transcript has 2 exons. NCBI's taxonomy places the organism in Eukaryota, Metazoa, Chordata, Mammalia, Carnivora, Ursidae. The record is from RefSeq and is a predicted model, not a curated record.
GGGCAAACCCGAGCUCCUCCCCUUUGCGGAAGAUCAUGUGGUCUCGGGCAGGUGAUGUCCCUGGGUCUCAGUUUCCUCAUCUGUGAAAUGGCUGGAACCUCGCCAAGCUCAGGCUGGACACCUGGAUUCUCCCGAGGAGGCCAGGCCCCCAGCAUCCACCUGACGAGGGGCUGAGGGGCUCCUGGUGCAGAGCCCCGCCUAGCCCCAGCUGGCAUCCUCCUAACCCCCGCCACCCACGCUGCCCGCUGCCCGGCCCAGCCUGGGGAGUUAGGAGGCAGCACUGAGCCGUAUUUAUAGUUCCCUGGCGCUGCUAAGCAAACUUCUAAAUAUAGACGCCGAGCUAUUUGGGGCCUCGGCCCUGGGGUGGAGUGGGAGUGGAGGGCACCGCACGUGUGCCUCCCUGGCCUGGGCCCUUGAGACUGCUUGGGCCUCUCAGUCUCCUGGGGCUGAGGCUGCGGGAAGGGGGGUGAUGGGGGGCAAUUUGUCUGAAUGGGGGUACACAGAGAGAGCCGCAGUGGAGUUGCCCAAAGCCACAGCAGAGGGGAACUGCCCGAAAGGGGUGCAGGCGCAUUCCAGGCCCACGAGGAGGGCACACAUUUGUGCCUGGUGUCCCCAACAUCCCGUUCCUCCACUUCUUUCACCCCAAGAUCCACUAGGGUAGGGAAAGUGGACUGAGGUAUCACCACAAUGUUCUCAGCUUCUAGGAAAUAAAGGUCCCCAGGAAGUUGCAGGGACAGCCCUGAACCCCAAACAAACCCCAGCUCCUAGCAACCCACUUCCCCUUCCCCAUCAGUGUUGAUCUCACUGGUGGCUGGGGGUUGUGGGGUGGUGACAGGGCUGGGGGGGGUGGGGCUAUAAAUAGCCGGUUUAUAAGCAGCUGCAGAGCUGGCUGGGGCAGAGGGUGGCCCUGGAGGCCAGAGGGCUUCUGACGGACAGCUGGACCCCAGAGUGUCAUGGCCUCCCAGCAGUCGUCAAGAUUUGGGGAAGUAAGGGGGAUGCGAGGGACAAGAUGCUUAAAACAAACAGGGUCAAUGAUUCUUUAAAGCAGCACCUUAAGCCGGUGGCCAUUGAGACUUGAGUGAAAUCUUAGUGCUUCCUCAGCUCUGGGCUCACGGGAACAUCAUACAGUCAGUGAAAAAGAAGGCCUGGGACGUGCCACAGAGCGGCUGGCCCUUGGCCACA